UGCGUAGGCGGCAACGUAAGUCAGGAGUGAAAGCUCUCCGCUAAACGGAGGAAUUGCUUUUGAUACUGCGUAGCUUGAAUGGGGAUGAGGUUAGCGGAAUGUGGCAUGUAGCGGUGAAAUGCAUAGAUAUGCCAUAGAACACCAAUUGCGAAGGCAGCUAACUAGACCUACAUUGACGCUGAGGCACGAAAGCGUGGGGAGCGAACAGGAUUAGAUACCCUGGUAGUCC
Molecule: ribosomal RNA, 229 nt
Filed under: uncultured bacterium
Lineage: Bacteria
Description: partial 16S ribosomal RNA
Rfam family: Bacterial small subunit ribosomal RNA
Source: RNAcentral